Molecule: ribosomal RNA, 440 nt
Filed under: uncultured bacterium
Lineage: Bacteria
Description: partial 16S ribosomal RNA
Rfam family: Bacterial small subunit ribosomal RNA
Source: RNAcentral
CCUACGGGAGGCAGCAGUGGGGAAUAUUGCACAAUGGGGGAAACCCUGAUGCAGCGACGCCGCGUGAGUGAAGAAGUAUCUCGGUACGUAAAGCUCUAUCAGCAGGGAAGAAAAUGACGGUACCUGACUAAGAAGCCCCGGCUAACUACGUGCCAGCAGCCGCGGUAAUACGUAGGGGGCAAGCGUUAUCCGGAUUUACUGGGUGUAAAGGGAGCGUAGACGGCAGCGCAAGUCUGGAGUGAAAUCCCAUGGCUUAACCAUGGAACUGCUGUGGAAACUGUGCAGCUAGAGUGCAGGAGAGGUAAGCGGAAUUCCUAGUGUAGCGGGGAAAUGCGUAGAUAUUAGGAGGAACACCAGUGGCGAAGGCGGCUUACUGGACUGUAACUGACGUUGAGGCUCGAAAGCGUGGGGAGCAAACAGGAUUAGAUACCCGUGUAGUC